This 492-nucleotide ribosomal RNA is filed under the name uncultured bacterium. RNAcentral's name for it is "partial 16S ribosomal RNA". It matches the Rfam family "Bacterial small subunit ribosomal RNA", at positions 29 to 507 of the family's 1533-position model. The record is from RNAcentral.
AGUGAACGCUGGCGGUAGGCCUAACACAUGCAAGUCGAACGGCAACACAGUAAGAUCUUGCUCUUACGGGUGGCGAGUGGCGGACGGGUGAGGAAUACAUCGGAAUCUACUUUUUCGUGGAGGAUAACGUAGGGAAACUUACGCUAAUACCGCAUACGAUCUACGGGUGAAAGCAGUGGAUCUUCGGACCUUGCGCGAUUGAAUUAGCCGAUGUCGGAUUAGCUAGUUGGCGGGGUAACGGCCCACCAAGGCGACGAUCCGUAGCUGGUCUGAGAGGAUGAUCAGCCACACUGGAACUGAGACACGGUCCAGACUCCUACGGGAGGCAGCAGUGGGGAAUAUUGGACAAUGGGCGCAAGCCUGAUCCAGCCAUACCGCGUGGGUGAAGAAGGCCUUCGGGUUGUAAAGCCCUUUUGUUGGGAAAGAAAAGCAGCAGGUUAAUACCCCGCUGUUCUGACGGUACCCAAAGAAUAAGCACCGGCUAACUUCGUG